Molecule: ribosomal RNA, 497 nt
Filed under: uncultured bacterium
Lineage: Bacteria
Description: partial 16S ribosomal RNA
Rfam family: Bacterial small subunit ribosomal RNA
Source: RNAcentral
GACGAACGCUGGCGGCGUGCCUAAUACAUGCAAGUUGAGCGCUGAAGGUUGGUACUUGUACCGACUGGAUGAGCAGCGAACGGGUGAGUAACGCGUGGGGAAUCUGCCUUUGAGCGGGGGACAACAUUUGGAAACGAAUGCUAAUACCGCAUAAAAACUUUAAACACAAGUUUUAAGUUUGAAAGAUGCAAUUGCAUCACUCAAAGAUGAUCCCGCGUUGUAUUAGCUAGUUGGUGAGGUAAAGGCUCACCAAGGCGAUGAUACAUAGCCGACCUGAGAGGGUGAUCGGCCACAUUGGGACUGAGACACGGCCCAAACUCCUACGGGAGGCAGCAGUAGGGAAUCUUCGGCAAUGGACGAAAGUCUGACCGAGCAACGCCGCGUGAGUGAAGAAGGGUUUCGGAUCGGAAAACUCGGUUGGUAGAGAAGAACGUUGGUGAGAGUGGAAAGCUCAUCAAGUGACGGUAACUACCCAGAAAGGGACGGCUAACUACGUG